RNAcentral lists this ribosomal RNA (405 nucleotides) under uncultured bacterium. RNAcentral's name for it is "bacterial SSU rRNA". It matches the Rfam family "Bacterial small subunit ribosomal RNA", at positions 29 to 417 of the family's 1533-position model. The record is from RNAcentral.
AACGAACGCUGGCGGCGUGCCUAACACAUGCAAGUCGUGCGAGAAAGUUCCUUCGGGAGCGAGUAAAGCGGCGCACGGGUGAGUAACACGUAGGUAACCUGCCCCCCAGUCUGGAACAACUAGAGGAAACUCUAGCUAAUGCCGGAUGAGACCACGAUCCCUUCGGGGGUUGCGGCCAAAGAUGGCCUCUACUUGUAAGCUAUCGCUGAGGAAUGGGCCUGCGGGCCAUUAGCUUGUUGGUGAGGUAACGGCUCACCAAGGCUGUGAUGGCUAGCUGGUCUGAGAGGAUGACCAGCCACACUGGGACUGAGACACGGCCCAGACUCCUACGGGAGGCAGCAGUGGGGAAUAUUGCGCAAUGGGCGAAAGCCUGACGCAGCGACGCCGCGUGGGUGAUGAAGGCCU